This 316-nucleotide ribosomal RNA is filed under the name Dolichopus clavipes. RNAcentral describes it as "partial 12S ribosomal RNA". The record is from RNAcentral. Lineage: Eukaryota; Metazoa; Arthropoda; Insecta; Diptera; Dolichopodidae.
AGUAGUAUUAGUUAAGGUCUUGAAACUCAAAAAAUUUGGCGGUAUUUUAGUCUAUUUAGAGGAACCUGUAGUGUAAUCGAUAAUCCACGAUGGACCUCACUUAAUUUUGUUUUUCAGUUUGUAUACCGCUGUUAUUUGAAGAUUUUAUAAGAAUAAUAAUUUUCAUAGUUUUUAAUUAAAAAAUAUAUCAGGUCAAGGUGCAGCUUAUGAUUAAGAAUUUAUGGGUUACAAUAAAAAUAUUUAUACGGAUAAAUAUAUGAAAUUAUUUUUUGAAGGUGGAUUUAAUAGUAAAUUUUUAAAGAUAAAAAAAUUGAUU